GCCCGGUUCGCCGGGCGAGUAAAGUGGCGCACGGGUGAGUAACGCGUGGAUAAUCUACCUCUAUCUGGGGGAUAACCCAUCGAAAGGUGGGCUAAUACCGCAUAUUCCGGCAGUUUUUCGAAUCAGUCGGUAAAGGUGGCCUCUUGAUCAAAGCUACCGGGUGGAGAUGAGUCCGCGUCCCAUUAGCUAGUUGGUAGGGUAAUGGCCUACCAAGGCGACGAUGGGUAGCUGGUCUGAGAGGACGAUCAGCCACACUGGAACUGGAACACGGUCCAGACUCCUACGGGAGGCAGCAGUGAGGAAUAUUGCGCAAUGGGGGAAACCCUGACGCAGCGAUGCCGCGUGGGUGAAGAAGGCCUUCGGGUCGUAAAGCCCUGUCAAGUGGGAAGAACAGCAGCGGGACGAAUAAUCCCGUUGUGUGACGGUACCACUGAAGGAAGCACCGGCUAACUCCGUGCCAGCAGCCGCGGUAAGACGGAGGGUGCAAGCGUUAUUCGGAUUUAUUGGGCGUAAAGAGCGUGUAGGCGGCCGGUCAAGCCAGAUGUGAAAGCCCAGGGCUUAACCCUGGAAGUGCAUUUGGAACUGGUUGGCUUGAGUUCG
Molecule: ribosomal RNA, 600 nt
Filed under: uncultured bacterium
Lineage: Bacteria
Description: bacterial SSU rRNA
Rfam family: Bacterial small subunit ribosomal RNA
Source: RNAcentral